This 21-nucleotide microRNA is filed under the name Brassica rapa (field mustard). RNAcentral's name for it is "bra-miR860-5p". Its record names the gene bra-miR860-5p. The record is from miRBase by way of RNAcentral. Lineage: Eukaryota; Viridiplantae; Streptophyta; Magnoliopsida; Brassicales; Brassicaceae.
AUGUAGUCCAAUCUAUUGAAG